AGGACGAACGCUGGCGGCGCGCCUAAUACAUGCAAGUCGAGCGAGAACCAGGGCUUGCCCUGGGGAGAGCGGCGAACGGGUGCGUAUCACGUGAGCAACCUGCCUCAGGGACCGGGAUAACUCGAGGAAACUCGGGCUAAUACCGGAUGCCCUCGUUGGACCGCAUGGUUCGGCGAGGAAAUGGAUUCCGCUCUGAGAUGGGCUCGCGGCCUAUCAGCUUGUUGGUGGGGUAACGGCCUACCAAGGCAACGACGGGUAGCUGGUCUGAGAGGACGAUCAGCCACACUGGGACUGAGACACGGCCCAGACUCCUACGGGAGGCAGCAGUAGGGAAUCUUGCGCAAUGGGGGAAACCCUGACGCAGCGACGCCGCGUGCGGGAUGAAGGCCUUCGGGUCGUAAACCGCUUUCAGCAGGGACGAAAUUGACGGUACCUGCAGAAGAAGGCCCGGCCAACUACGCGCCAGCAGCCGCGGUAA
RNAcentral lists this ribosomal RNA (478 nucleotides) under uncultured bacterium. Its description in RNAcentral is "SSU rRNA". It matches the Rfam family "Bacterial small subunit ribosomal RNA", at positions 26 to 523 of the family's 1533-position model. The record is from RNAcentral.